CACGCGGAAAAAUUCCACGACCCAGUACGUCAGGAAAAUAUCCCCGGCUCGCUCCUGCCGAAGCGCUCGACCGACGCAGCCAUCCUCGAGUUCUCUCCCCUUUGGCGACCGGGAGCGCCGCCGCCUCCGCCGCUCCCUCCGGCAACCGCAAGUGACCGGCGACCGCGAGCGACCCCGACGCCUCCGCCUCCCUCCGGCGACCGCGAACGACCCCAACGUCUUCCUCCGGUGACCGCGAGCGACCCCGACGCCUCCCUUUGGCGAUCUCGAGGCUCCUCUCCCCUCCGACGCAGCAGGAUCUGGUACAUGGUUCCAUAUCAAACUUGGAGAUCUUGGAGAUGAUCAUAAGGAACGUUGUCAUUGAUUGGAAUCGUUAUAAAAUGGUGAUGGUGCUUUGUUAGCAACUGCUGUCUUGAAUCUCUUUGCAGGGACUGUUUUUUCUUUAUCAUUUUAAGGGUCAUAAAUUAAGACUGUUACCUCAAAUUUGGUUCACUCUGUAAUUUUACUUGCUAUCAUUGUUCCUGUUUGGCGGAUAGUCUUGUUCGGAGGAUCUGGCACCUCGUUUUGGAUUCAAAAAAUUGUAAUCUUGUGGUGUUUGAUCCUAACAAAUUUAGUUUCGGAUAUCAGUUUUGCUUGCCAUUUAUUGUUC
Molecule: long non-coding RNA, 649 nt
Organism: Brachypodium distachyon (stiff brome)
Lineage: Eukaryota; Viridiplantae; Streptophyta; Magnoliopsida; Poales; Poaceae
Exons: 2
Source: RefSeq, a predicted model, not a curated record